AACGAACGCUGGCGGCAUGCCUAACACAUGCAAGUCGAACGGGAUCCGGACUUCGGUCCGGUGAGAGUGGCGGACGGGUGAGUAACACGUGGGAACCUGCCUUUUGGUUCGGGAUAACCGCGGGAAACUGCGGCUAAUACCGGAUGCUCCCGAGAGGGAAAAGAUUUAUCGCCAGAAGAGGGGCCCGCGUCCGAUUAGGUAGUUGGUGGGGUAAUGGCCUACCAAGCCGACGAUCGGUAGCUGGUCUGAGAGGAUGAUCAGCCACACUGGGACUGAGAUACGGCCCAGACUCCUACGGGAGGCAGCAGUGGGGAAUAUUGGACAAUGGGGGGCAACCCUGAUCCAGCAAUGCCGCGUGAGUGAUGAAGGCCUUAGGGUUGUAAAAAUUCUUUCGACGGGGAAGAUAAUGACGGUACCCGUAGAAGAAGCUCCGGCUAACUUCGUGCCAGCAGCCGCGGGU
This 460-nucleotide ribosomal RNA is filed under the name uncultured bacterium. RNAcentral describes it as "bacterial SSU rRNA". It matches the Rfam family "Bacterial small subunit ribosomal RNA", at positions 29 to 522 of the family's 1533-position model. The record is from RNAcentral.